GGAGUUGAAGUAAGAUGUGAUUAUAACUACGAAUUAUAAUUAGGCGUUAGCCGUUACUUUGG
This 62-nucleotide transfer RNA is filed under the name Plagiorhynchus transversus. Its description in RNAcentral is "tRNA-Arg". The record is from RNAcentral. Lineage: Eukaryota; Metazoa; Acanthocephala; Palaeacanthocephala; Polymorphida; Plagiorhynchidae.